AAUCAUGUAGCUCAGUUCGUUAGAGCAUGGUGCUGAUAAUGCGAAGGUCGAAGGUUCGAUCCCCACAUUCCUGGAUUG
Podarcis lilfordi (Lilford's wall lizard) is the source of this 78-nucleotide non-coding RNA. Lineage: Eukaryota; Metazoa; Chordata; Lepidosauria; Squamata; Lacertidae. The record is from the annotation of a GenBank genome assembly.